Molecule: long non-coding RNA, 259 nt
Filed under: Solanum tuberosum (potato)
Lineage: Eukaryota; Viridiplantae; Streptophyta; Magnoliopsida; Solanales; Solanaceae
Description: long non-coding RNA (STUB_LNC006733)
Source: RNAcentral
AAACCAACCCGACAUUAUAUAUAUAAUUUUAAAAUUUUAUUUUAUACAUAAAAAUAUUUACUUUGAUAUAAUUUUUAAAUAUUUCUUAUACUUUUUCAUAGUUUUUAUCUUUUAAUAUAUUAUUUCAAGUUUGAAACUUAGAUUCUGAAUGGUUCAAUAAAGAUUAUAGUCCACAGAUGUUGGUAAUUAUAAUAAAACUUAAAUCAAAAUCAAAUUAAUACUAAUGCAAAAAGAAAAUCAAUUCAACACUAAGAAUGAC